Molecule: ribosomal RNA, 265 nt
Filed under: uncultured prokaryote
Description: partial 16S ribosomal RNA
Rfam family: Bacterial small subunit ribosomal RNA
Source: RNAcentral
UACGGAGGAUCCGAGCGUUAUCCGGAUUUAUUGGGUUUAAAGGGUGCGCAGGCGGGAGAUUAAGUCGGCGGUGAAAUUUUGCAGCUCAACUGUAAAAGUGCCAUUGAUACUGGUUUUCUUGAGUGUGGAUGAAGUAGGCGGAAUUUGUGUUGUAGCGGUGAAAUGCUUAGAUAUCACGAGGAACUCCGAUCGCGUAGGCAGCUUACUAGGCCAUAACUGACGCUCAGGCACGAAGGCGUGGGGAUCAAACAGGAUUAGAUACCCU